This 497-nucleotide ribosomal RNA is filed under the name uncultured bacterium. Its description in RNAcentral is "partial 16S ribosomal RNA". It matches the Rfam family "Bacterial small subunit ribosomal RNA", at positions 28 to 507 of the family's 1533-position model. The record is from RNAcentral.
GAUGAACGCUGGCGGCGUGCAUAAUACAUGCAAGCCGAGCGAACAGACGAGGAGCUUUCUCUUCUGACGUUAGCGGCGGACGGGUGUGUCACACGUGGAUAACCUCCCUAUACGACUGGGAUAACUUCGGGAAACCGGCGCUAAUACCGGAUAAUAUAUCGAACCGCAUGGUUCAAUAUUGAAAGACGGUUUUGCUUUCACUUAUAGAUGUAUCUGCGCCGCAUGAGCUAGUUGGUAAGGUACCGGCUUACCAAGGCAACGAGGCGUAGCCGACCUGAAAGGGAGAUCGGCCACACUGGAAGUGAGACAGGCUCCAGACUCCGACGGGAGGCAGCAGUAGGGAAUCCGCCGCAACGGGCGAAAGCCGGACGGAGCAACGCCGCGUGAGGGAGGAAGGCCUUCGGAUCGUAAAACGCUGUUAUGAGGGAAGAACAAAUGUGUAAGUAACGAUGCACAGCUUGACGGUACCGGAUCAGAAAGCCACGGCUAACUACGGG